Molecule: ribosomal RNA, 950 nt
Filed under: Trichoderma sp.
Lineage: Eukaryota; Fungi; Ascomycota; Sordariomycetes; Hypocreales; Hypocreaceae
Description: SSU rRNA
Rfam family: Eukaryotic small subunit ribosomal RNA
Source: RNAcentral
CCCGCGAAACUGCGAAUGGCUCAUUAUAUAAGUUAUCGUUUAUUUGAUAAUACUUUACUACUUGGAUAACCGUGGUAAUUCUAGAGCUAAUACAUGCUAAAAAUCCCGACUUCGGAAGGGUUGUAUUUAUUAGAUUAAAAACCAAUGCCCCUCGGGGCUCUCUGGUGAAUCAUGAUAACUAGUCGAAUCGACAGGCCUUGUGCCGGCGAUGGCUCAUUCAAAUUUCUUCCCUAUCAACUUUCGAUGUUUGGGUCUUGUCCAAACAUGGUGGCAACGGGUAACGGAGGGUUAGGGCUCGACCCCGGAGAAGGAGCCUGAGAAACGGCUACUACAUCCAAGGAAGGCAGCAGGCGCGCAAAUUACCCAAUCCCGACACGGGGAGGUAGUGACAAUAAAUACUGAUACAGGGCUCUUUUGGGUCUUGUAAUCGGAAUGAGUACAAUUUAAAUCCCUUAACGAGGAACAAUUGGAGGGCAAGUCUGGUGCCAGCAGCCGCGGUAAUUCCAGCUCCAAUAGCGUAUAUUAAAGUUGUUGUGGUUAAAAAGCUCGUAGUUGAACCUUGGGCCUGGCUGGCCGGUCCGCCUCACCGCGUGCACUGGUCCGGCCGGGCCUUUCCCUCUGCGGAACCCCAUGCCCUUCACUGGGUGUGGCGGGGAAACAGGACUUUUACUUUGAAAAAAUUAGAGUGCUCAAGGCAGGCCUAUGCUCGAAUACAUUAGCAUGGAAUAAUAGAAUAGGACGUGUGGUUCUAUUUUGUUGGUUUCUAGGACCGCCGUAAUGAUUAAUAGGGACAGUCGGGGGCAUCAGUAUUCAAUUGUCAGAGGUGAAAUUCUUGGAUUUAUUGAAGACUAACUACUGCGAAAGCAUUUGCCAAGGAUGUUUCAUUAAUCAGGAACGAAAGUUAGGGGAUCGAAGACGAUCAGAUACCGUCGUAGUCUUACCAUAAACUA